UGGGGAAUAUUGCACAAUGGGCGCAAGCCUGAUGCAGCGACGCCGCGUGAGGGAUGGAGGCCUUCGGGUUGUAAACCUCUUUCGCCAGUGAAGCAGGCCAUCUUCUUUGUGGGGUGGUUGACGGUAGCUGGAUAAGAAGCGCCGGCUAACUACGUGCCAGCAGCCGCGGUAAUACGUAGGGCGCGAGCGUUGUCCGGAACUAUUGGGCGUAAAGAGCUCGUAGGCGGCUGGUCGCGUCUGUCGUGAAAUCCCCUGGCUUAACUGGGGGCUUGCGGUGGGUACGGGCCGGCUUGAGUGCGGUAGGGGAGACUGGAAUUCCUGGUGUAGCGGUGGAAUGCGCAGAUAUCAGGAGGAACACCGGUGGCGAAGGCGGGUCUCUGGGCCGUUACUGACGCUGAGGAGCGAAAGCGUGGGGAGCGAACAGG
RNAcentral lists this ribosomal RNA (425 nucleotides) under bacterium. Its description in RNAcentral is "partial 16S ribosomal RNA". It matches the Rfam family "Bacterial small subunit ribosomal RNA", at positions 355 to 776 of the family's 1533-position model. The record is from RNAcentral.